This 497-nucleotide ribosomal RNA is filed under the name uncultured bacterium. RNAcentral's name for it is "partial 16S ribosomal RNA". It matches the Rfam family "Bacterial small subunit ribosomal RNA", at positions 28 to 507 of the family's 1533-position model. The record is from RNAcentral.
GAUGAACGCUGGCGGCGUGCCUAAUACAUGCAAGUCGAGCGAACAGACGAGGAUCUUGCUCCUCUGACGUUAGCGGCCGACGGGUGAGUAACACGUGCAUAACCUACCUAUCUGUCUGGGAUACAUUCGGGAAACCGGAGCUAAUACCUGAUAAUAUCUUGAACCGCAUGGUUCAAUGAUUAAAGACAGUUUUUCUUUCACUUAUAGAUGCAUCCGCUCCGCAUUAGCUAUUUGGUAAGGUAACGGCUUACCAAGGCAACGAUGCGUAGCCGACCUGAGAGGGGGAUCGGCCACACUGGAACGGAGACACGGUCCAGACCACUAUGGGAGGCAGCAGUAGGGAAUCUUCCGCAAUGGGAGAAAGCCUGACGGAGCAACGCCGCGUGAGUGAUGAAGGUCUUCGGAUCGUAAAACUCUGUUAUUAGGGAAGAACAAAUGUGUAAGUAACUAUGCACGUCUUGACGGUACCUAAUCAGAAAGCCACGGCUAACUACGUG